Elgaria multicarinata webbii is the source of this 4014-nucleotide long non-coding RNA. RefSeq lists it as uncharacterized. Lineage: Eukaryota; Metazoa; Chordata; Lepidosauria; Squamata; Anguidae. The transcript has 2 exons. The record is from RefSeq and is a predicted model, not a curated record.
AGGAACCACAUUAAAAUCCUACAACAGGAGGGCUUUCCUUGGUCAACUCUCCCUGUGGCUGGAGUUUUCUAGCGGUAAGUGUCAUGUAAAGUCAGUGACGCCUGUUUUAAGGCAUUCUCUUUCAUUAGAAGAAACAAAAAAAAAAGCAGGGAAAAAUUGGGAUCCAGAGAUAGGUUGGGGAGUGAGACUUGCUUGAAUGUGUCAAUGGUGAAUGGCACUGGGAAAACCCAUCACUCAUAGUGCUAGCCCCACCGGGCUGUGACCGCUAUGACGUUGUACGGCAGGUCCAGCUGCGGAUGAAUGAUAAGCUGAUAAGCAAGUCACAUACUUUGGGAACGCGCGUUGAUAAGACCUCCUGGAAGUGAGGCAGCUUAGAAAGAUUUGUGGUCAGACCUAAAAAUAAAUUAAAAAAAAAAAGGAAAAAAAUUGCUCUAAGACCUAGGCAAGCAGGAGUUCUUCUGAUAAGGGUCCUAAAAAGCGCAUUGACGCUAAACUGGCGGAGCAUAGAUUGCUCCUAAAAGUCAUUGUGGUCCACAGUGGACCCGGUUUGGGUAAGCCCUCUAAGGAGGCACCAAGAAGGACCCGGUGUGGGUAAGCCCUCUAAGGAGGCACCAGGAAAGUCUGGGGUCGCGCCCCAGCCUGGGUAGAAGACCCAGUCCGGCCAAGAAAAUAAAAAAUAAAAAAUAGAAAAAGAGGAAACAGGAGGAGAAAGAGAAAAAGCAAAAAAGGGAACAAGAAAUAAUCAGCUGAAAGAGCUCAGAUAAAGAAACCUUAACAGUAGAGACACACGUUCCAAACAGGAACAUUUAUGUCUGUUUGUUUGUCUUCUUUCCUACCCCAAUUCCUAUUAUGAGCCUGAGAAAUAACAGGACUCCUAUAUAAGCCAUACCUGUGUUAUGUGUAAUGUGACAUGUCUGAAUGAGUUGCCCUGAAUGAGUGGACCUCCUUUCCUACCACCCUCCACUUAUGAGCUGUGCCAAUCAAAACUCUAUCUAUCGUGCCUUCCCUUGCAAAGGGACAGUGCCGUUAGGGGGGUGAGAAAAGCACAGACACCCUGUUAUAAGCCCUGUUGUGAAAACCCCUGUUGUGCUUGUGCCCAAAAACCCAAGAGUUGCCACGUACGAAAGCUCUUCACAUGCUUGAGUGUGGUAACAAGAAACGGUGUGCAUAGAUAAGAACAGAAGAAAUAGCUGCUGUGGUUUUUUUUGUAAGUAACCUCAGACUGUGGAGCAAAAGAGAUAAUGGGAAGCUCCGGGUCAAAAACAGGCAGCCCAGAAUCAGAAAAAAACCCGUUAAAGAAAAUGUGUAAGAUCUACAAAGAUCGAAUGCCAUCUAGGUUGAAUUUAAAAAGAUUAGAAAUUCUACGGGCCGCCACCCAAUACUGGGAUGACAUCCAAGAAAGAAAACUAGGAAAAGAAAAAUUAGAAACCAAGUUGCUAACCUUGCAAAUAGAACAGCUCCAGACUCAAAUCCUACCUUAAGAAGUUUGGCUAAACAGUGCAUAGACGCAGUAUUGCAACUAAGAAGAACCUCAUUAACCAAAAUUCAUGCACUGGGCUUGCGAAUAGCAUAUUACUCUGCACAAUUAGACGCAGCUGCACAAGGAUUUCCACCUUGCUCCAAGCAGUGGCUGCUACCGCCUUGCUUGUAAAGAAAAAGCAGCUGAUUUGAAAUUAAGAAAAAUUUGUGGGUUAGAGUUCCACCGUCGCAGCCUUGUUGAUAACCAAAUCUACACAAUUUCUAUCGAAUCAGAGAUUGACUCGAUACGAGCAGAUACUACCAGCAAUUACCCUUAAACAGUGCACUACCUUAAAUGAUUGCGAAGUGGUAAUUCAAGAAUUUGACUGAUGUUACAUUGCCAGCUCCAGAUAUAGUUCUGUUUACUGAUAGCUCUUGUAAAGGAAACAGCUGGGGAAAGCUAGUAGCCAGAUAUGCAGUAAUUUCUCAAGUACUGAUAAAAUAAAAAUAAAAAGGGGAAGUGUAUACCACAUUAGAAAGUUUCGCUCUGCCACGAAGUGCACAAGCCGCAGAAUUAAUUGCUUUAACCAGAACCUAGCAAAAGGUUUGUCAAUAAAUAUUCAUACAAUAUUGUUUUGUAAUCUGUCAUGCAGUUGAGCAAAUCUAAGAAUAUAGAGGCUUUAUGACAGCCGCAGGAGGGCCUAUAGCAAAUAGCCCUUUAGCUGCAAAGUGGUUUUGCAGCUAAUUGCAUCUUGAGAUUUAGUUAAGACACUAACAUACUUAAACAAUGGUGUGCCCCAAGAAUACACCUAGAAGCUAAAUGAGUGUACCAAAAUUGUGUAACUUGCCUGAAGUUUUUAUAGUCCUAAACUAUCUGCACACACCCAUGAGUUUAUAGUCCAUUUCAAUAUUGCAGAUUGACUUUAUUGAAUUUACUAACGCAAUAAGAUUUAAAUACUGUUUGACUGUUGUGUGCAUUUUCAGUAGAUGGGUAAAAAGUUUUCCUGUAUAAUAUGCAACAGAAAAAUCCACAAUUAAAUGCUUACUAAGAGAAGUGGUGCCCAGGUUUAGCGUACCUUUAAGGGUAGAUUCAGACUAUACUACGAAUUAAGUGAAAUUCCUUUAGUGUUAAUGAACUUGAGAAACAGCCCCAACAGAAAACAUGGACUCACACAACAUGAGAUUGUAUUUGGGAAGCUUAUGGCUGUUGGACUGUCUCUGCCAAAACCAUUUUUCCCCUCACUGAGAGCAGUGAGGAAAUAAUCUGUUAUGUUCUACACUUACACAGACUAUUAGUUCAACUCCAAAGAAAAAUGAGAAACAAGCAACUGAUUCCAGCUGAUGUUCUAUGUCAUCAUUUCCAACCAAGAGAUGCAGUGUAUUGUGUUGCUGACCACACACACCUAGAUACAUGCAGCUCCUGUGAAAAAGCUAAAUCCAGGAUGCCAGACGGAUGAUCCAGAUGAUCCAGUUGCACUAGAAAGUUACUCAGACCUGAUUGAGAUGUUAAAGGAUGAAAGAAGCUGCCAGGAGGAAGCCAAGAGAGCCCCCUGCACAUGCUAAGCGACCAAGUGUCCAGUGGAGAGAGAGAGUUGAGGCUGAAGAGCAGGAACUCCCCUCCACGGAACGACAUCUGGUCAGUCAACAAGAUCAGCUGUCCUUUUAACCUCAAGUCAAGAGUUUCAGAGUUAACGAGGCAUAAUAACCCUCCAACGAAAUCUGGAUGCUCUAAGAGACAUUCAGUGAAGAGAAGAUAUUAAGACAACACCGUUACAACUACUUUGUGUGUUUUAAACCUCUAUAGUUCUCUGAAUUGUAAAAAUGAAAUUUGAGUGUGUGUUAUUUCUUAUUAUACAAGCCCUGCCUUGCAUUGCAAUCCAAAAAAGAGUUUCAAAAGCAUCCCAUGACUUGAGCAGGUAAAAAAAGAAAAAAAGAAAGAAAGUAUUCAGUUGCAUUAUUAAGCAAAGAACAAAAGAGUGAAGAUUAGAGCUUUAAUAGAGAAUGGUUUUAUGGCUAUGGGCAAAGCAACGACCAUCAGGAGGGAAUCUGUCGCGGAAUUUUAGCUGGUUCUUUUGCUAUGCCCAUAGGUAUGAGAAAAUGGCCUAUCAUCCUUAGCUAUAGUUCAUAAAGUUCAUGGCUUCCUGUUCCUUUAAACCUUGUUUUUAAUGCUGCAAUUGCUUUUGCUUUUAGAGUUAAGUUGAUGCAGAAACUAUGUGACAACAUAGGCGUUGUCCACCCCGGCAGUCAGAGGGUGGAGGAUGCCUGCAAGGAAAGAUAACCAAGAAAAUAACAGAUAGAGAUGUUUUUCUGUUUUUCUGUAACUGUGAUAUCUUCUAGUCAGAGAAGCACUCAUACUCUGUACAUGCCUAAAUGCUUAGCUUCUUAUUGGUUGUUGCAUUUUCAGAACUGUAUUAUGAUUGGUGAGAAAGUUCUGCCAUGGUAUCUAAGGGGAACUGACUCUAUAAAUAUGUUGACAUUUCCUGAAAUUAUUGGGCAGUUUCCUCAGACUGCCACCUUGCAGCGCUGCUCGUAAUAAACCUUCUAAGGAGAGAGAAA